RNAcentral lists this ribosomal RNA (510 nucleotides) under uncultured bacterium. RNAcentral describes it as "partial 16S ribosomal RNA". It matches the Rfam family "Bacterial small subunit ribosomal RNA", at positions 28 to 507 of the family's 1533-position model. The record is from RNAcentral.
GACGAACGCUGGCGGCGUGCUUAACACAUGCAAGUCGAACGAAGAGCGAUGGAAGCUUGCUUCUAUCACUCUUAGUGGCGAACGGGUGAGUAACGCGUAAUCAACCUGCCCUUCAGAGGGGGACAACAGUUGGAAACGACUGCUAAUACCGCAUACGAUCUAAUCUCGGCAUCGAGGAUAGAUGAAAGGUGGCCUCUACAUGUAAGCUAUCACUGAAGGAGGGGAUUGCGUCUGAUUAGCUAGUUGGAGGGGUAACGGCCCACCAAGGCGAUGAUCAGUAGCCGGUCUGAGAGGAUGAACGGCCACAUUGGGACUGAGACACGGCCCAGACUCCUACGGGAGGCAGCAGUGGGGAAUCUUCCGCAAUGGACGAAAGUCUGACGGAGCAACGCCGCGUGAGUGAUGACGGCCUUCGGGUUGUAAAGCUCUGUUAAUCGGGACGAAAGGCCUUCUUGCGAACAGUUAGAAGGAUUGACGGUAUCGGAAUAGAAAGCCACGGCUAACUACGUG